UACGAAGGGGGCUAGCGUUGUUCGGAAUUACUGGGCGUAAAGGGCGCGUAGGCGGUCUGAAUCGUCGGAUGUGAAAGGCCUGGGCUUAACCUGGGAAUGGCAUUCGAGACGGUCGGACUGGAGUGUGGGAGAGGUUGGUGGAAUUCCCAGUGUAGAGGUGAAAUUCGUAGAUAUUGGGAAGAACACCGGUGGCGAAGGCGGCCAACUGGACCACAACUGACGCUGAGGCGCGAAAGCGUGGGGAGCAAACAGG
RNAcentral lists this ribosomal RNA (253 nucleotides) under uncultured bacterium. RNAcentral describes it as "partial 16S ribosomal RNA". It matches the Rfam family "Bacterial small subunit ribosomal RNA", at positions 524 to 776 of the family's 1533-position model. The record is from RNAcentral.